GACGAACGCUGGCGGCGUGCUUAACACAUGCAAGUCGCACGAACCAAAGGGAGCUUGCUCCUGGAGGUUAGUGGCGAACGGGUGCGUAACACGUGAGGAACUUGUCCUUCGGCGGGGGAUAGCCGGCCCAACGGCCGGGUAAUACCGCGUACGUCGGUUACGUCGCAUGGCGUGACCGGGAAAGCAGCAAUGCACCGAAGGAGAGCCUCGCGGCCUAUCAGCUUGUUGGUGGGGUAAUGGCCCACCAAGGCUACGACGGGUAGCUGGUCUGAGAGGAUGAUCAGCCACAUUGGGACUGAGACACGGCCCAG
RNAcentral lists this ribosomal RNA (311 nucleotides) under uncultured bacterium. RNAcentral describes it as "bacterial SSU rRNA". It matches the Rfam family "Bacterial small subunit ribosomal RNA", at positions 28 to 334 of the family's 1533-position model. The record is from RNAcentral.